UGGGAUCCUUGAAUUUUGACCAGGGU
This 26-nucleotide non-coding RNA is filed under the name Mus musculus (house mouse). Lineage: Eukaryota; Metazoa; Chordata; Mammalia; Rodentia; Muridae. The record is from RNAcentral.